Molecule: long non-coding RNA, 999 nt
Organism: Schistocerca americana (American grasshopper)
Lineage: Eukaryota; Metazoa; Arthropoda; Insecta; Orthoptera; Acrididae
Exons: 3
Source: RefSeq, a predicted model, not a curated record
ACGCUGGUCACUGAAACGGCUACUGUUCUCGAAAUUACUUCGUACGUGAGGCUGUAGAGCACGUACCGGGAGAUACGCAGCUGCAACGUUGACGAAACAAAUUCUAACUGCUCGAGCCAAACCAGUACGAGGCACUACAAAGCAAGCAUCGCAUUGGUUGGGUGAUGCGACAGACCAGUGACAGCAAGCCAGACAAAGAGAAGCCAGGGACACCUGAGUGGAUGUAUGGAUUACUGAACCUAUUUACAACCCAGCGCAGACAGCCCCAGUCGCCAUUCACGUUCGAGAUGAUAUGACUGGGUCGGCGUGGUGGCUCAGCAUGUUCGGUCAAGGAAAUGCUCAACCUCUGAAAAGAAAAAAAGACGAAUUGAAGUGUUCAGUGGUGGAGUUUGAGAGGUGCCAAGCAACAACUGCAUAGAACUGCUGAAGAUUGAUGGUAAAGAAACAAAUAGAUAGAACAAAAAAAAAAAAAAAAAAACUUGUUAGCAUCGCUGCCUGUGGAUGAUGGGGUUCUGGGUUCGGUUACUAAUUGGGUCAGAGACUUUCCUUGCAAGGGGGUUGGGUAUUUUUGUUGCUCUAAUCAUUUCAUCUGCUUGUUAUUUACAUGCAAAUUGCCGAACUGGCAUCAUAUACAAAGAUUGCUCCAUUUGGUUGGUCUGAAGAGUAAGGUCCUGCAGUAAAGUUGGUACCUCAUGGCAGAACCACAAGCUAAGGACAGUCACUGCCAGACACCAGCCAUGAAUGGAAGAUGUCAACAAAGACCGGCCGUCAAGACGUUCCGUACACAGCUGCUGCUGGAAGUCUGAGUGCACUGCUGCUCGCCGACUCUUUGAUAGCCUGGUCUAACAGCAGCAUCAGCAUAGCUCAGAUAUAGGAGUGUUAGUGUCAUUAGUCAGAACUGUGUAUCAAAGUUAAUACUUAAAUACAAUAUGAUAUGUGACUGUCACUCAGCACUGUUCAGAGCAAUAAACAGUUAUCACUGUCUUCUGCAACAAUACU